GGGGGUAUAGCUCAAUGGCACAGUGCAUGCCUCGCAUGCAAAAGGUCCUGGGUUCAAUCCUCAGUAUCCCAU
This 72-nucleotide transfer RNA is filed under the name Camelus bactrianus (Bactrian camel). It matches the Rfam family "tRNA". From Rfam's summary of the family: Transfer RNA (tRNA) molecules are approximately 80 nucleotides in length. Their secondary structure includes four short double-helical elements and three loops (D, anti-codon, and T loops). Lineage: Eukaryota; Metazoa; Chordata; Mammalia; Artiodactyla; Camelidae. The record is from Rfam by way of RNAcentral. RNAcentral also lists the same sequence under 1 other name.